GUGGUACAGUUGUUUUAAUACAAUACCAAAAGUUUUUUUGUUGUAUUUAUAUACUUUUCUGUUUUUUAGGUCUAACACUAUAUUUAUCUCAUUCGCAUGCAUCGCAUGAUUUUGAUAUGAUUGACACCAUUUCCAGGGGACAUGGCUGAUGCAGUAGAAAAUUUUUCGGAGGAAAGGAGAGGAAUUACAGAAACUUACAAAGUGAUAGAAAAUGCGAUUGCUAAAGAUAUACUGGUGCCACCAGGUUUUAUGAAUCAUUUGAAUCACGCUUCCACCUGUUUGUUACAGUGUAAUCCUCCCUGUGACACUCCAAAGUUAAACCAAUUGAUUGAAAUGCACUUGGAAAAUUUUAGGAGAAAUGUGAGGAGUCCUUCUACAAAGGUUGUUCUGAGCGCUUUGCUAUUACACGCCUUUGGGUGUGAGCAGGAACACUGUAAUACCUUAUACUGCCAAGAAAUUCGAGACAUAUAUUCUGAAAACUCUGAAUGGACACGUUCUGAGUGUUGUGGCAUUGUCAGAUUUUCAGAUUCGUGUUGGUUUGACUUGAAAGAGCAAGUGAACAUUUGUACUGACUACCAUAUUUUCUUUCAAGGUUCUCUUGGAAAGGGAACUAAUGGAGAUGUAUAUUACCAGUGGCUCGGGAAAUUUGGUGAAGCUGCUGUUGCCGUUAAAUUGGCAAGGUAUAACUGUCAAAAAGAGACAGAAAUAGCAACAAUAUUUGGCUCUCACCCACACUUGCUCACAUCACAGUUAAUACUGGAAGACUCAAGUAAUAAUAAUUUUAGCAUGCUGUUUAUGGAGAAAGGAGAUUGUACAUUGUUUGACUACAUCAUGGCUUACAACAACUUACAUGGCUCCUACUUGACAAUAGAAAUUGCUUUUAUUUUUAUCAGACAACUAUUAGUAGCUUUGAAAACAUUGCACAAAAAUGAAAUUAUUCAUGGUGACAUAAAAGCUAAAAAUAUUGUGCUUGUUAACAACAUGCAACAAGUGAAGUUAAUUGAUUUUGAUGGGUUUAAAUUUGUUAAUUCAACUGAUCCGAUAUCUUGUACUUAUGGUUACGCUGCACCAGAGGUAGUUGCAGAACCCAUUGCGGUAAAUUGUGUCGCAGAUAUAUUUUCCCUUGGUAUGACAAUUGCAGAGAUGUUUCUUGGUGAUAUGGCUAUUAGACGAUGCUCUAAUUAUUUGGAAGAAAUUGGACGGAGGCGUGAAAAAAUCAUCAUUGGUUUGUACAAGAUAGAUCAACAGAUUGCAUGUUUUGUGCAAAUGUGUUUAGACGUAAGCUCUUUAUAUAACUAUGAACCCUUCUUCACGACCAUCGGCUAGAAAAUUGUUAUCAGAAUUUAAAGAAAAUGGAAGAUUUUAUGAAGUGUAUAGGCGUUGUGGUAAUGUACCAAUUGUUCCAUUACCAGUUCCAAAUGACGCUUCAGAAAUAAAGAGGUUUCUAACACAUAGAAUUACUUCAUAUAUGGAUGAAAACCUCCCGAAACGUCUACCCGAGAGACAUCAAGCUGUUCUUGCAAGGGACAUUUUAAAUACAGAGGAAGAAAUGCUGGUUGAUUGACAUAACAUGAUAUAAGUGACACGAGGAUAGUUGUAAGGGGAUACAAGAGCCGUGACGUCAUAAGAUAUAAUGCUGUGACAAGGUGGAAGAUUCAUUCAGUUAUUUAGUGUACCAAAUAACAUACAAUGCAUCACAAGAUGUAAAAAUGCUAUAAAAUUUCAUAAUGGCGGAUAAGUUGUGAUACCAUGCUAUGGUCUGCCAUAUAGUAAUAAGUGACAUGUUUUGACCUGCCAUAUAGUGGUGCAAUUCGUGACUGGAUGCUGAAAUGUUAUACUUGUGUUAAUUGUCACUGGUUACCGAUUGCCAAACAGAGCAGGUGUUUAUAAGGAACACCAGACUGUUACGUACUGGUCACUCUCAUGCGCUUUUUUUAGCCUUAAAUAGAAUAAUAUGGUUUGGUUUUGCCUGCUGUUUUGCUACAUUAGCAAAGAAAAACAAAUUGGAUUGAAUUUGUCUUUUUACAAUUUGUCUUUUAAUGUUGUUUUAUAAAGAUGUUUUUAUUAUGUUGUUUUAUAAGGAUGUUUUUAAUGUUGUUUUAAAUGUAAUUUAAUAUGGUGAUAAUUGAAAAUAGAUUAUUUUAUAUUUCUUUUGUUUCAUUGAAGCUGUUUUUUUAGGCAGAAACUUAUAAAAAAACAAAGUUUUCAAUUUAUUUGUACCAUUAAAAAG
Hydractinia symbiolongicarpus is the source of this 2230-nucleotide RNA transcript. RefSeq lists it as uncharacterized. NCBI's taxonomy places the organism in Eukaryota, Metazoa, Cnidaria, Hydrozoa, Anthoathecata, Hydractiniidae. The record is from RefSeq and is a predicted model, not a curated record. The transcript is spliced from 13 exons.